RNAcentral lists this ribosomal RNA (360 nucleotides) under uncultured bacterium. RNAcentral describes it as "bacterial SSU rRNA". It matches the Rfam family "Bacterial small subunit ribosomal RNA", at positions 1 to 334 of the family's 1533-position model. The record is from RNAcentral.
ACAGAUCGUUCAGAGUUUGAUCCUGGCUCAGGACGAACGCUGGCGGCGUGCUUAACACAUGCAAGUCGAACGAAGAACGAUGGGAGCUUGCUCCUAUCAAUCUUAGUGGCGAACGGGUGAGUAACGCGUAAUCAACCUGCCCUUCAAUGGGGGACAACAGUUGGAAACGACUGCUAAUACCGCAUACGAUCGUAAUUCGGCAUCGAGAUACGAUGAAAGGUGGCCUCUAUUUAUAAGCUAUCGUUGAAGGAGGGGAUUGCGUCUGAUUAGUUAGUUGGAGGGGUAACGGCCCACCAAGGCAAUGAUCAGUAGCCGGUCUGAGAGGAUGAACGGCCACAUUGGGACUGAGACACGGCCCAA